Carassius auratus (goldfish) is the source of this 1047-nucleotide long non-coding RNA. RefSeq lists it as uncharacterized. NCBI's taxonomy places the organism in Eukaryota, Metazoa, Chordata, Actinopteri, Cypriniformes, Cyprinidae. The transcript has 3 exons. The record is from RefSeq and is a predicted model, not a curated record.
CUGAGUUAUACAGACAGACCAGAGCCAAGGCUAUACGCCUUAUUCAGCCCCCCGCCAUUUUGAUUCGAAAACGAGGCUAUGAGGGAUAGCAGUCAGCAGCGUUCACUAUGGCGUAUUGUUGUGUACCGGGAUGCAGGUCGUUUAGCCAUCAAAAUAAAGACAAUACGUCAUUUCACAAAUUUCCACAGGACAGAGAACUUCAGAAAAAGUGGAUUGUUAAAAUUAGACGGGACAUUGGACUUCCUUUCAGGUAACAAUAUUGCAUUUAUGGAUAAAAAGGACUGUGUACCCCUAACGUUAGCCUUUUGGCUAAACGCUAAUUUCUAACGUGAGCAUGUUUAUUUUCCUUUAAACGCCUGCAUAUAGCUAAAAUAUAAUAUUUUACCACAACAACUAAGUUCAAAAUCUCAAUUUUUCAUAGAUUACAAAGAACACACGAGUGUUCUGACUGGAAUCAGGAAGCUAAAGGGAGGUUCAGUUCCCUCCGUGUUUACAUGGACUCAACAGCCAAACGAAAGGAAAACCUUACGAUCACAAGAAAAAUGGCAUUUAGAGGAAGAACAUGAGGAAGAUGAAAGUUCUACAAAGGAUGGACCAAGCUACGAAGAAUGGUUAGUAGAAAUCUAUCAUACAAAAUGUGUACCAUAUUUUCUGCACUAUAAGGUGCACUUAAAAGCCUUUAAUUUUCUCAAAAAAAUGACAGUAAGCCUUAUAAUCCGGAGCGCUUUAUAUAUGGAUCAAGGCGCUCAAGGCGUCUUUAUAUGACUGUUUUGUUGACAUUCCCUUUAUCACAGCUCUAUCUAGUGGAUGCAUACCACAAACCCAGUCAAACGUUUGACUGCAGUAUCUUCUAUUCUAUGCGCCUUAUAAUCCAGUGCGCCCUAUAUAUGAAAACAGUUCUAAUAGGCCAUUCAUUGAAGGUGUGCCUUAUGGUGCGCCUUAUAGUGCGGAAAAUACGGUAUAUAAAUGCAUCAAAUGAGAAAUAAACAUGAAUAUAGAAUAGGUGUAUAAAAUCUUACUUGCCUGCUCUCAUUCUCUCUCUCUCUC